UGAACGCUGGCGGUAUGCCUAACACAUGCAAGUCGAACGAGCUUUUCGGAGCUAGUGGCGGACGGGUGAGUAACGCGUGAGAAUCUGCCUUCAGGAUGGAGACAACAGUUGGAAACGACUGCUAAAACCCAAUGUGCCGAGAGGUGAAAUAUUUAUAGCCUGAAGAGGAGCUCGCGUCCGAUUAGUUAGUUGGUGGGGUAAAGGCCUACCGAGGCAGCGAUCGGUAGCUGGUCUGAGAGGAUGAGCAGCCACACUGGGACUGAGACACGGCCCAGACUCCUACGGGAGGCAGCAGUGGGGGAAUUUUCCGCAAUGGGCGAAAGCCUGACGGAGCAAUACCGCGUGAGGGAGGAAGGUUUUUGGAUUGUAAACCUCUUUUGUUAAGGAAGAAGAAAGUGACGGUACUUAACGAAUAAGCACCGGCUAACUCCGUGCCAGCAG
RNAcentral lists this ribosomal RNA (441 nucleotides) under uncultured bacterium. Its description in RNAcentral is "bacterial SSU rRNA". It matches the Rfam family "Bacterial small subunit ribosomal RNA", at positions 30 to 514 of the family's 1533-position model. The record is from RNAcentral.